Molecule: ribosomal RNA, 496 nt
Filed under: uncultured bacterium
Lineage: Bacteria
Description: partial 16S ribosomal RNA
Rfam family: Bacterial small subunit ribosomal RNA
Source: RNAcentral
AUGAGCGCUGGCGGCGUGCCUAAUACAUGCAAGUCGAGCGAACGGACGAGAAGCUUGCUUCUCUGAUGUUAGCGGCGGACGGGUGAGUAACACGUGGAUAACCUACCUAUAAGACUGGGAUAACUUCGGGAAACCGGAGCUAAUACCGGAUAAUAUUUUGAACCGCAUGGUUCAAAAGUGAAAGACGGUCUUGCUGUCACUUAUAGAUGGAUCCGCGCUGCAUUAGCUAGUUGGUAAGGUAACGGCUUACCAAGGCAACGAUGCAUAGCCGACCUGAGAGGGUGAUCGGCCACACUGGAACUGAGACACGGUCCAGACUCCUACGGGAGGCAGCAGUAGGGAAUCUUCCGCAAUGGGCGAAAGCCUGACGGAGCAACGCCGCGUGAGUGAUGAAGGUCUUCGGAUCGUAAAACUCUGUUAUUAGGGAAGAACAUAUGUGUAAGUAACUGUGCACAUCUUGACGGUACCUAAUCAGAAAGCCACGGCUAACUACGUG